Molecule: ribosomal RNA, 253 nt
Filed under: uncultured bacterium
Lineage: Bacteria
Description: partial 16S ribosomal RNA
Rfam family: Bacterial small subunit ribosomal RNA
Source: RNAcentral
UACGUAGGGGGCAAGCGUUGUCCGGAUUUAUUGGGCGUAAAGAGCGUGUAGGCGGCUUUGCAAGUCCGUUGUGAAAACUCGAGGCUCAACCUCGAGACGCCGGUGGAAACUGCAAAGCUAGAGUCCGGAAGAGGAGAGUGGAAUUCCUGGUGUAGCGGUGAAAUGCGCAGAUAUCAUCAGGAACACCGGUGGCGAAGGCGGCUUUCUGGGUCUUACCUGACGCUGAGGAACGAAAGCUAGGGGAGCGAACGGG